GAUACCUACCUAGUUCUGGAAGGUCAGAAAAGCUGGCAAUCUAAUGAUAGGAGAGUCGGCAACCGAUGCCUCGAUGAACGGCUUAAGUAGUAUAAAGAUUUUAAGGUAGCAAAAUUAUUUGUCGAGUAAGUUUCGAUUCGCAUGAAAGAUG
RNAcentral lists this ribosomal RNA (151 nucleotides) under Olea europaea subsp. europaea. RNAcentral's name for it is "Bacterial large subunit ribosomal RNA". The record is from Rfam by way of RNAcentral. Lineage: Eukaryota; Viridiplantae; Streptophyta; Magnoliopsida; Lamiales; Oleaceae.